UAGGGUGCGUUUGGUUCGCGCUAUCUUUUAAAGAUUCCUAGUAAUCCAAUGGGAAUAAAAAAAUAUGACGGUGUUUGGCUAAACGCACUAAGUAAUCUAGUUGGUAAUAUUGGAUUCACUUGGGAAUAAGAUUCACCCCAAAGUACUAAUCUCAUUUCCUUGAGGGAGGAUGGGUAUCCUCAUAUUAAUGGAUUGGGAUAAUCAUAAUAUAUCUAAUCUCUUUCUUUCUUCCUACCCGCCGGCUAAUUGAUAUUAUUUUUCUUUACACUCUAACCUUAUAUCUCUCUCUAAACUUAUUUUUCUCUCUAAAAUUCAACUUUUUUUUCCUCUCUCUAAACUAAGCUCUCUCUCUCUCUCUUUCUAAAAUUUCAACUCUCUCACUCCCUCUAAUUUUGACUAUAUUUUUCUUUCUAUUUUUUUAAUUAUGCUCUCUCUCUAACUUAUACUCUCUCUCCCUUUUUUCUAAAAAGAUGUUGAAACUUUUGGUAACAUUAUCUAAAAUUAAUUAAAUAAAUAAAUAAAUAAAUUGUAUAUUUUUUGUAAUAUUAAAUAACAUGGCUAAUUAAUAUUACCGUGCGAACCAAAUACAGGAAUUCCACAUUCUUAGUAAUAGGAUGAAUAGGAAUAAGAUUCUCGGAUAUCUUUUAUUCCUAGUAAUCUUUCAUAAUGCGAACCAAACGCACCCUUAAAUCCUUGCAUAAUAUGGUCCCCGAUAACCAAUAAUUCAAGCUACAUGCAUGGCUCUAUCACCAAAGGCAUCAUGUCACACACCAUAAACCCAUAAGUAUACACAAAAAGAAACUUAUUGGAAUGAGGAAGUUCAAAACGUACAUUGCAUGAUAAUUUGCGAAAAGAGGCACAUCUAUUUCUAUUCUACCACAUUAAAGGAGGGUUACAUUAAAGAGAAUUUUGGAGACCAAAGAUUGACACGUGUCCCCUCAAAACCCUCCUUUAUUCUUUCUCUCUCAUUAAAGAAGGGUUUGGAGGGACCAAAGAUUAACACGUGUCCUUUCAAAACCCUCCUUUAUUCUCUCUCUAUACAUAUAAUUAUAUAUUAUAUAUUAAUAUAUUAUAAUAUAUACUAUGAUAUAUAUAGUAUAUAUAUCUAUAACUAUAUAGUUAUAGAUUAUAAUUUAAUUAUAUAAAUUUAAAUUUUGAUACUUUCAAAAUUUUAAAGUUUAAAUUUUAUAAUUUUAUAUUUAAAUUCUAAAUUUGAAUUUUAAUUUAUAACAUUUAUUUUCAAUUUUAAACUUCAAAAUUUAAAAUUUAAAUCUCUAAACUCCAUAAAAUUAAUUAAUUUUUAUUAAUAUAGAUGCAAUUUAAAUCACGUAAAAUAUUCGAUGUAUAAAAAAAUACAGAAUUUAAAUUUCAGGAGUAAAAUUUAUAAAAAUAUAAUGUAUACUAGGGGGGGUGUGUAUACUACUCAUGUAAUUUUUAUUAAACAGUUUCUUUUACAAUUUUAUUUUUCUUCUAUUUAUUGAAAAUUAUUUUGAUAGAUUUAUCUCAAAUCCUUUUCAUAUAAAUUUUUAUAAAAUAAAUUGUUGUAUAAAUUUAUUUUGCGCAUAUACGAAUUUUAAUAAAUUUUAUUUAAAUAGAUUUAAUUAUUAAAUUAUUUUUAUAUAACUUUUAUUUAAUUAAUAAUUAGAGUUAUAAAACUAUAAUAAAAAUAUUAAAAAAAUAAAAUUUAUUAUAAAAAUAAUUUUAUAUCCACAUCAUCGCGUGGUAUUUCACUAGUUUUAUUGAAGGCAUAGCUUUAUAAUGAGGACAAAGAGAUUCUUAUUAGUUCCUUCACUGGGUGGUCCAAGUCCACUCCCAUGAAACCUAAGCGCAAGUGGUAUAAACCUUUUAAUCUAAGGCCCCGACACCCUGACCCAUCACACCAAUCGUCUCUAGAGCAAGUAGCAAAGGGCUUGGUGGUUGGUACCCGAGACCCAAGUUCGAAUCCUAGUUGAUUCACAUUUCCAGUUAAGUUUAUUUCUAAAUGAAAUAAACGAAGCAGGUAGCGUGUUAUCUAUCUCUCUCCAAAAAAAAAAAAAAGAAAAAGAAAAAGAAAAAGAAAAAACGCCCUAGCCCAUCACCCGUCCUAUAUGUCUAUAUAUCUAGCACUUUUGACUAAGAGUCUGAUGAUUAACAUUCGAAAUUUUAAAAUUAGAGUUUAAUUGUUUCACUUGUCUAGCUAACGGAUCAGUUUAUUUCUAAAAUAUGAACGAAACAAAUAAGUUGUUUUUUUUACUGAAAAGAAAAACAUCAUGUCCAACCAAAAUCUUUUAAAGAGAGUAAUAUGUGGCCUAAUUCCACAUUGACUCUAAGCCACCGUUUGGUUCGGAAUUAAGUAAAAAUUUGUUAUUUCAGGAAUAGAGUUAAGUUCAGGAUUAAUAUGGGGUUAGAGUAAUUUUAUAUUUGAUUGAGAAUUGGGUUUACUUCAGGUAUAGAUAAAAUAGUGUUUGGUUAGAACAGGUGUGAUAAAAAGGAUAGUUGGUAAAAUAGUGUUUUAUUUGAUUGGAAUAGUGGGGUGGGAUGGAAUUAGCUAACCCCAAAUAGUGUUUUCCUUAAUUACUAAGUUUAUAUAUAUAUAUAUAUAUAUAUAUAUAUAUAUAUUGGGGCUCAACCGACUCUAUAUAUAUAGGAGGACUCGAUCAGGUGCAAACAAAGAAUAAAAUCAAAUAAGAGAAACUAGCAAAGUCAUGUUGAGAGAGGCGACUGAUGACGUGCAUUCGACCCCUCGUAGUCCGCCGCCACUGCCUGUCUCGGCUCCGCCCUCGCAGAUCCGCUCACCGUCGGUGGCGGCAUCGUGGUUUGCGAGGACGCCGUCGACGAGCGUGAGAGACUACCUGGAGGAGGUGGGCCACCUCGCCGGCGGUGGUGCCGACAAUCGCGAUGCGUGGCUUCCGAUCACCGAGUCGAGGGACGGGAACGCCUACUACUCGGCGUUCCACAUCCUGAGCUCCGGGAUCGGGUUCCAGGCGCUGAUGCUUCCCGUGGCUUUCACUAUCCUCGGAUGGUAUUAAUAUUUUCUUUUAAAAAAAAAAAUAAAUUUAGAGGAUCUAAAAUAUUUUCACACCAUUAAUUACUCUAUUACGAUGGACAGUAGAAAUAAGUUCUCGAAGAUUUAAAAACAAAACAACAAAGGAAGUCGAAGAAGUUUUAAUGUUAUACAUCUUCUAAUAUUUACUAAAGUGACUCGGAGUUGUAUAAUAUUAUUGGCCCCUUACUUUUGUAUAGGUUAGAUACAAAUAAAUCAUGCAGGGUUGUGCUAUGUAUGAAGUUACAAAAAAACAACCAAAGGAAUGGAAAAAUAUUUCUAUCCAAAAGUUAUUUUCAAAAGUUAUUUUAAAUAAAUAAAUAAAUAAAUAUUUUUAUAUACAUAUAUAUACACUUAUCCGAAAAGGUUGAACAAAAAGCACUCAUCAUGCGCGUUAGUGGUGUCCCCUACAUACUCUAUUAUGUGGCUUUAGGUGACGGGAGCAAGAUGACGCCAUAAACACGUCCCAAAAGGCAAAACAAAAAAAAAAUUCACAAAAAUAUACUAAAAGAAAUUUAAAAAAAAAAAAAACAGUAAAUUGCAUGGCCAAUGUGGGGAUUUGUCCUGUAGUUAACCCAACUCAAUCCUUUCCGACCGAGUCACUGUUUGACCCGAAGUAAUCAAUCUCAAUCAAAUCCGCAAAGUACCAACCAAUUAAAUGAUCCAAAAUGAAUGAAAUAUCAUUACUAGUAGCUACAACAAUUUGAGCCGUAUGAUGACGAGUUUAAUAUGUGCAGGGCAUGGGGAGUAAUUUGCCUCACCUUGGCAUUCGUAUGGCAACUCUACACCCUUUGGUUACUCGUCCAUCUCCACGAAUCCGUCCCCAGUAUCCGUUACUGUCGUUAUCUCCACCUCGUCAAAACCAUUUUCGGUAAUAAGCCCCUCCAUUCACUCUACUUGUUUGGCCUGAUUUAUAUGAUGUUCAACAGAUACUUUGAUAAGGUGCAAAGCUAUUAUACUUUCGAAAGUAUAAAAAAAGUUGGUGCUUUCGAUUUUUUAGUCUUAGAAUCAAAAAUUAUAGAAUCGAGAUAAUGGUGUUCCUUUUACUCUAGGAUAAUGAUAUUAAUCCAAAUAUCAGAAAUGAUCAAAAGGAUUAAUCUAAGGAACAAAAAAUUAUAAGCACCAACUAGUUUAUACUUUCGAAAAUAUAGUAGCUCUACUCUUUUGAUAAACAAAUAUUUUUCCUAAUUAGUCAUAUUUAUAUAAUAUUUCUGUAGAAACUUCUGCUUGAUCAUCACUCGUAUACAGGCCCAAAGUUAGGGAAGUGCAUGGCCCAGUUCCCGAUCAUGUAUCUCUCCGCCGGGACGUGCACCGCCCUCAUCGUCAUCGGCGGCGGGAGCAUGAAGCUCUUCUUCGAGAUCACGUGCGGUCCGGCACGCGUCUCGAGGCCGCUCACAUCCGUCGAGUGGUACCUCGUCUUCGUGUGCCUGGCGGUGGUCCUCGCGCAGCUCCCGAACCUCAACUCCAUGGCUUUCGUCUCCCUCGUCGGGGCCGCGACCGCCGUCCUCUACUGCACCAUGAUAUGGGUAAUAUCUGUGAGCAAGGGGAGGCUGCCGGAGGUUUCUUACCAUCCUGUAAGGGGCAAGUCGGACGUUGAUGGAAUGUUGAACGUGCUCAAUGCUCUCGGGAUCAUUGCUUUCGCUUUUAGAGGCCACAACCUUGUCUUAGAAAUACAGGUAUUCAAUCUAUCGUCUCUUUUAGUUUGUUUACAAAGGUCAUGUAUAUGUGACAAUCCAGAAAAGAGUUUAGAGAGAGUUGUCGUACCCAAACACCUCUUAGUAAUUGAACCAUCCUUUUCGCCCAACAUUGCUGUCUCGUCCUAUCCUAUCCAUUUCAGGCCCAAGUGCCGUCUGACCCGCAUAUAAUUUAUCUCCAUCAGAUUAGCUAGCAAUAAUAAUGUUGGUGCAUGCUUAUGUAUAUUUAUAUACGUUUUCAGGCUACCAUGCCGUCAACUCUGAAACGCCCAUCCCACGUGCCUAUGUGGAGAGGAGUCGGGGCUGCUUACCUGCUGAUCGCGUUGUGCAUGUACCCAGUAGCUAUUGGUGGCUUCUGGGCCUAUGGAAACCUGGUAAAGGAGAACAAAGAUUUUGUCUUUUUGAGUACUCAGAUUCAUCAAAUUUUCUCUGUUCUGGUGACACUGUCCAUAUGCUUGCUCCUUUUACUGUACUUAAAAUUUCUCUGCUCUGAAAAGCACUUUCAGCUAGCUAGAGCAAGAAGCUAGAAUUGGCUUCUGAACCCUGGAAGUGGGUGCUCGAAAUGACGCUUCUGCUUCUAGCUAGGGAGAAGCAAUUGAGAGGACCACGAUAAACAAGCUAUACGUUACGGUUCCUAUUCGCUGAACGUCUCGUUAUACUUUAUGCAGAUACCUUCAAACGGGAUCGUGAGUGCAAUGCACAAAUUCCACAGCCAUGACAUCUCCCGAGGCGUGCUCGGACUUACCACGUUGCUCAUCAUCGUAAAUUGCCUGAGCUCCUACCAGAUCUACGCGAUGCCGCCCUUCGACAACUUGGAGGCAGCAUACAUGAGCGUCGCGAACAAACCCUGCCCGCGAUGGCUCCGGUCUGGCUUCCGGGCUUUCUUCGGCUCGCUCACCUUCUUCGUCGCCGUGGCUCUGCCUUUCUUGUCGGAGCUCGCGGGCCUCCUCGGAGGGAUCGCAUUGCCGGUCACUCUGGCGUACCCCUGCUUCAUGUGGAUUCUUACCAAGAAGCCUAGGAGGUACGGUGGAAUGUGGUGCACCAACUGGUUUUUGGGAAGCCUAGGAAUGGGUUUAAGCGUGUUGUUGAUUAUUGGAGGGAUAUGGAGGAUUGUCGACAAAGGCCUCAACUUGCGCUUCUUUAAAGCAGCUCAGUGACAGAUGAAUUAUUAGAAGAAAAGAUGAAGUACCAGAAACCUUAAUGAAGACACGACGACACUGCGGCAUUGUUGAUAAACUAGGGGUGAUGUUCUCGUGAGAUGUAAAUCUAACUGAAAGAUCAAGUGACCGGUUAAAAUACUUUGAUGCAGGAAAAAGGGUGUGAACAUGAUAGACGUAGAGAGGAUCUGAAACCUGCCGGCAGACCUGGCAUUCACAACUGAGCGAGAAGAAUUUAAAAGCUUUCUUUAAAAGAUGCUAAAAAGAUGGAAAAUGAAUUUUCUGCCAAAAAAAACCUGCCUUCUAGGAUAUUUUCCAGGGAACCAGGCUGAAGAAAAGCUGUUGAAGUUAUAAAAGAAUUAUAAAAUUGAAGUAUUAUUGCUCUGCAAAUGAUAAGAGAAUAGAUUGCAAAAUAGAUUAGAAAAUCAAGGUGCAUAUAUGCAGUCUUUCUUUCGAGGACUUGAUAAAAUAAUACUUUGGUGCUCGAAGGCACUAAUAGUUCACAUUGUGCUAAGAAGGGGAAAAGAAAAAGGAGAAAAAAACAAAAAGUUCUAAUCUAGUAAUCUUACAAGAUCUUUGAGCACACUAAAGGACGGAACAUGUCCAUCAAAAACAAGGAACGCAGAUAUAGCCACCAAGCAUAAGCAUGGCACAUCUGGAUAGAAAUAAAGGAUACCAGGGCAGCAGAGAUACUUCUAUCGGAUAUUUGAUAGAGGGCAUAUAUAGUGACAAAAAUACAAAUGUUACAGCAAAAUAGAAAAGAAAAAAAGAAAAGAAAAAUACAACAAAGAACUUACAAGAAGUUUCAAAGAACGCCUAGCUGGCAUGUAUCAACAGCACCGGCAGGAAAUAAUCUCUCUCCAAGUGUAGGGUCGGGCCCUGGCUUGUAGUUCCUCCAUCGGGGGAACCUCUUCGAGGAUGUAGAAUUUCUCUCUCGAGCAGCAAAACGUAUACAGGUUUCUGCAAAUGCCCUUACUAAAUGGAUAAACCCUGUCAGGGACCCCCCUGCAAACGAAAACAUUUGAUAUCACUUCCUCAUUAGUAGCCUUAGCAAUGAUUAGUAAAAGUUAGGGCUCAUCCAAACGCUCCUAUAUAUCAUUACCUCAAGUAGAGAACGCGUUUUCUUCUUGCGAGCUCGUAGGUAGUUUGGUUUGUCAAAGCAAGAUAGCUGCACAUAAAAAGAAACCAGGAUGACUUCUCAGUGCAAAUUGUAGUAUGCUACCUGCUUGAAUAUUCAUCCGAAUAAAGAAGCUAGCGGAGGACUAUGAAAAGAAAAUUCAAUGUCCUUCAGAAUGAAUAAGAUAAAACAAAAUCAACCAUAGAUAACAACUGAAUAUAAAUCUUACCUAUGGAAAAGCAACAAUAGAAGCAAAAAUAUGAGGCAAAAGAUCAAUGCUGCUAACAGGAUUAUGCCAAGGAAAUCCUUCCACCUAAUAUGUCACAUAUGAAGUAUAUGGUUACAAUUUCCAGGUUGCAGAAAACCAACCAAAAUAUAAAAAAGGCUCGAGGGAAAAAUAUUAUGCGAUACUUGUUUAGUUCUUAUCACAGAAGCCCACAGCAACAACCAAGAAAAAUGAGAAAAUGGUGAAAGGUCAAACAACAAUUUAUGGUGACGAAAUAGGAGACUGUACCACUCUUUGUCGAUAUCUGACCGCAAGAAGGAAAUGUACAGAACAACAGUCCAUACUGACAGAAUUGUUUCUUCAAAGAUAUACCACCUAGAAAGCAACAAAAUCUCUAUUACAGCAUAAAGUAACACAUUACACGUAUUUAACAGGACUCAGUAUCUAAAAGUUCAUCAUACAUAACGAAAAGUAUCAAGAAUUGUAAACUCACCAGAAUCGACAAUGAUUCUUCAAGCCAAUGCAUGUUCCGAGCCAAACACAGUGAUGAUCAAACUGAAGGACGCAUUUAUCACAGUCAUGGCAAUGCUUAGAGCGUGGAGGCUGUAAAGGGAUGCAAAAUGUAAGUUCUGCUUCAGAAAUAUGUACAAAAGGAAAUACAGCCCUGAGAAUAUAAGAUUGUAACUAGAGUGAGGAACAUGAACAAAUGAUGAAACCAUUCCCUAAAUAAAUAUAUUGUAAACAGUAGGUCCAUUUUUCUUAGUCUACUAGAAAAGGAGUGGAGUAUAAAAACAAAACUAAGUGCAUGAAUAUUUUUCAAUAGUGGCAACUACAGGAAUUCACCCAACUGCAUACUCAGAGAAGCUACUGAUUCCUGUAAUGUCACAUUUUUUUAAAUGCUUUUUCGGGCACUCAACGGGACUGUAAAGCCAUUAAGCAAAUAUUAGAGAACAAGAAGGUAACUUAUAGAACAAUUCUACAUAAUCUAUAGAAGAAUAAAUGUGCUGAGAUCAAUAAGGUGGAACUUAUAGAACAUUUCUACAGAAUCUAUGGAAGAAUAAACAGUGCUUUCAUUAGUAAAAUCACACAAUGGUGCCAGAGGCAUCUAGUCACAACCAAUGUAAAUAGUAUUGCUUGAUAAGUCAGAACUUAAAGAUUCAAGUCUUGUUGUCAACAACAGUGCCUCUUGACAUGCAGUCAAUGAGGAUGGGUUUUUCCUGUAACUUCUAGAGUCAGUAUCAGAUUAGGAACUUCAUUUUGGAGCACAUUCACAGAAGAGCUGACAGACCAACAUGCCACCUGCUAGUAAUUCAAUAAUUCGUUACUAUAUACAACGUAUUUAGGCCCGCAAAAAAGUACUGAUUAAGUACUCAAGAAAGUGAGCAAUGUGCAUGCUUUUGAAAGGUUUCAAAUACUCAUGGACACAAUCCCACGUUAGAUAGCCAAUGAUUUGAUCCCUCAAAUAGACAUACCACAGAAGUGAAAGUGCAUAUUACAACCUACAAGCUAUAUAGGACUAACACAUCAAACAAUAACUUAAGAAUCAUAAGAAACAUAGAUGCCCUGGGAGAACGACACUAAGAACAUUUGCAUCUAUCAAAAUAAAAAAUUAUCCAAUAGCUUUCAAAAAAGAUAGAAUUAAUAGCAAAACCUGCUAAAAAUAUACAGUCCCUGUAAAACCAUAAGAGAAAAUUAAUUUGUUAAAUCAAAAUGACGGGGGAAAAAAAUCAAGAUAUAGCAACCAAAUAUGAUCAAAAUUUACCUGAAUGACAUUACAGUAAGGGCAAGUCCAGUCCCUGUCAAGGGGGAAGAGGUUAAAUGAUCAAAUUUUGAAUUUUAGACUUCAUAAUACAAUGUGCCACAGAAUAGCAGAUACUAGUAGGAAUCCUAAAAAACAAGAAGGAUAAUGAAACUAAGAAAGCUAUCAUUAUAGCAAGCUUUUUCACAUUCAAAAUUUUACGUGUUAAGACCUACUUUCCAAUGACUGAAUAGUGCUCGAUCAAAGCUGGCACUAUCAGACACUAAAGCACCAUCAAAGCUGGAGAAUCAAGAAAGGCAAAGCUAAGUCAUUCCCUGUCAUUAUUUCCACAUUAGCAUCCUGUUUCUGAAGCUCAAAUUUCAGCAACCACUACCACUACAUGGUAUGUCUUCCUCUUCAUAAUAGUUCUAGCAUUUCCUUAUUUAUUAAUGCAUUCUACCUACAUCUGAAAAUCAUGAUAAAGUAAAUAUGUACAUGACCUGGACAGCAAUUAAUAAGGGAAAGCAUAUCAAGGUUGCAUUAGGAGUGUCAGCUGAUACUUAAGGAAGCAAGGGAGAAGCACAGAAUCCUGUGCUCAAUAUACCGGCACCUUCUUACGGACUUUCUGCCCCUUCUAAGGGAUCUAUUAUUUAAUUACAGUACGCUCGCCAGCCUCUUUUAUCCCCCAUCAGUGACCAACUAUAGAAUAAAACUUUUGUAUAAUAAUUUAGAUAAUGACCAUUGAAAUGACCAAAAAGGAAACUCUAGGCUAUUGAAUUACUUUUAAACAGUUCCUUGGUUUGUCAUAAUUUUAUAUAGUACCUGCUAGAUGAACCAGGAGGGUACAGGUUCAUCACUUGCUGCAACCAUGAUGAUGAAUUUGUCCGUGAAUUAAGUCUUUCCAACUGAUUACGACUGAUAGGAGUCAAGCUUCCAUUUUUUGAAGUGGAUUGUCUUCUCUUAAUCGUCAAAGAAGAACAGCAGGAGUAAGAUCCAGAUCAAAGGAAGUGGGAAAAAAAAAAGAAGAGGAUCAAGCAAGAUAUAAGAUGAGAGCUCAACAUUACUUUGAAAUCAUUGAUGUAUUAAUAAAGGUAGCAUGCAGUUCACUUCCAGCUCUCAUUGCAUCGAUGACAUACCUGAAAGCACAAAAUGCACACGCACAUCACAGACCACCUAUGUCAAUUCUAUUGCAUGAUUUAAAAUGAUUUUGAAGUAAAACAGCAAGAAAAGAAAAAAAAACAAAAAGAAUGAGGAAUGACUAGCAAGUCCACUACCCUGGUGAUGAACCAGAUGCGAGGAUAUACUGAACUAGCGUAACCAGAAGAAGUACCAAGUAUGCUGCAGUAUACCUGAAAAUGCAAAAGAAUGAGGUAAGCAUACAAGAAAAUUGCACACAUAAGAAAAGAAAAGGACUGUAACAAUUAAUGUGAUCAUAAAAAUUCCCCAAGAGAUGAUCACAGGGAACUAUAAGCCAAGUCUUGACAUCAAAUGUUAUAGAAGAAUAUCUUUCGUUAUUCAGUGUUAAAAAUCAACAAAAGAAUGAUAGCACCCACUUCAGGAACCUCAUUGUGCAGAUGUCAUUCUAACCAGGAGUUGAAUUUACGACAAAGUGAGAAAUGAUACUUUAUGAUAAUAAUAGGACUUUUUUGGGAUCUCACUGAAAAAAUAUGAUGUAUUUGACAAAGAUUUGAAUGUUAAAACAUUACGCUUCUCUUUUCUUCCUCCUCUUCUUAAUUGGUUUGAGGCAGUUCUCUCUAUUCACCCUCAUUCAAAUACUUCCAUCUCAUUUAUCUUUCAAACGUUUCUCUUUUCUCCAUCUUUCCACUGCCCUAACUGCUUGCAGAUUGUUUCUCUAGCAAUUUAUUUGCUGCAAAAUUGCUGUGAAGUUUCAUAUUCCUUUCUACUGUAAUAAAAUUUACAAGAGAAAACUUCUGCAGCAAUUGCGACAUUUUAGGGCGACUUUAUCAACUUCAUACGAUUGUAAAACCAUUAAUAUGCAACAGUAAUGACAUAAUAUCACUCUAAGGCGGAAGGGCGGAAGGUGAAUGCAAGCAGGGUGACAAUGUUGAAAAUUUCCGAUGCCGGAGAAAUAGAUAGAACUGGAAAAAAUAACACUUCGUGCUAUCUUGACUGGAGAAAGCAUGAUUAUUGUAAAAGAAAUGUUUAAACAAGUUUAAGAACAGUUGUCCAAUCUAUGAAACACCUAGAGAUACAUUAUUAAUGCUUUCUAGGCAACAUAUAAUUGCCUUAGAUCAUUUUAUCCACAUUUUCCUGGAAUCGUCCAGGACAAGAUACCUAGCACCUCUGUGAAUCUUAAAGCAAAUAUAUAAUGCUAAAUAUAAAGUCCUUUUUACUCGGACCACGAAUUCGCAGCUAAAGUAAACAACUCAAUAGGGACACACGAUACACUGAGAAUAAUGCCCUACAACGUGAAAUUAAUAGAGUUCUCUUAAAGCAACGAAUUCAAGGAGAACGAGAAGUGGGAUCGCAACCAAACAGAAAAAAGAUCAAGAAAACGCUAGAUAAAUUGGCGGGAUCAAAGGGUACCACGGCUCCUCGCGAGUCCUCCGCACCAAAGUUGGAUCCAAGACGAACACCGUCCCCACGAAUACCACGUGAAGGAGCAGCAACAACGCCUUCAAUCCCCACGAAGAUCUCUUCGCUGGAUCCCCGAUCGGACCCCAGAAACCCCAAAUAAGACCAAAAUAAUAAGGGUUUCGAGAAUCCAAGAGAGAACACUACGACAUAGAUAUCGAGAUGGCUCGUACCCCGUUCGGCGACGCUGGGGCACAGCUCGGAGAUCUUCUCCCGCACCUCGCGUAUAGAGGUAGCUCGGAGAUCUGCGUCCGCCAUGGUCACCGACGCAUUCGAGAGCACCACCACCACCACCACCACCAAACGAAGAAGAAGAAGACGACGACGAAGACAAAGACGAAGACGCGGAAGAGACAGAACGGGGGGAUGAGGACGAAGACGCGUAUGGUGUACCGCAGGAUCAACGUACCGCGCGAUGAUGUUUCGCGAGGAGCGAGUUGUGAGUAUUGAUCGGAUCCUCUGAUUAGCUUUGGGCAGUUAGAUCCGCGAUUACGAGAGCGGAUAUACGGUGAUUAAAUUAGAGCCGUCGGAUCCGCGGGCUCCCAAAAACUGGUGAACCCAUCAGGUGACGUCAUAUGGUGGGCCCUAUUGAUGAGUUGGUUGGUUGCGGUGGCCCAUUGCUCACGGCCCAUCCGUUAUCAUAUCCAUUUGUUGCACAAUCUCCCACACUGAUAUAUUAUCUAAAUAAUAUCCGUAUCUACGGAUAAUAUUUUUAUUUAUUCAUUUACUUCUAUCCGUACCUAUAUCUACAUUAUCUACUCAUUUGCGUAACCAUCAAAAAAAACGUCAAAUUUGGUGGAUUAUGGAGGAAAUUUUUUUUGAAUCAGUCCCUCUCCAAAUGAUGGAAAAAAAAAAAAAAGCAAUAUCGGGUAGCAAAAUUUAAAUUCAAACCUUAUUAAGUGCAACAAACAUCGAGCAACAAAAAAAGAUAAUUUAAAUUCAAACCUUUAUUUACAAUUGAUUCAUCAUUUAUUAAAAUUUAUGCCCUUCCACUCUAGGGAGUAAAUUUUUAUUUUUUUUUUAUAGGGAUCAUACUGUUUUUGAAAUAAUCCAAACAGUGAAUGCUGGGGACGGUGAUUUAAAGCAGGUACAUGUGACAAUUUAUUACGAAAUUGACCUACUCAAAUGGAUCUUGUUUUUUUACUUGAAAAUUUGAGUUUCGACAUGAAUUGUAAAUUAAAACCUACAAAAUUAAGUGGAAAAAAUCAACUAUUAUUUCACCCAAUUCCGAAAGAUUGAAUACCCAAAAAAAAAUUAAAUUAAAAUUAAAAGUAAAAAAGAUAAAGAAACAAUCACAGUGUAUGGGCGAAAUUCAAGCUGGGCCCAACCCUUGGUAGUGGAUGGGCCAAAUUCAAGUUGGGCCCAACCCUUGGUUUUGCUGGUUCGAUGGGUCGACCCCUACAAGUGGGCCUUCUUAGUAUAAGUUAUGCAUGGAUUAAUUACUAAUAAAAAAAAAUAAUUAAUCUCAUCUGAUACAAAGCACAAAAAGGACUAAGGUUCAUAGAAUAAGAAAAUGUUAAAAUCUGGAAACUUAGAGAGAUAUAACAUGGGUCUAGAAGUAAUAAGAUAUAUCGAUCAUAUAAAUCAGUAAUCAUCAAAUAAAAUUAUAUGAGAGGCAAUUGCUUAUAUACCCCUUACUGUAAAUCUACUUCAUAUAUAUCUUUCCCUCACAAACAUCUUUCUCAAAUAUACCUUUUUAAAAACUCGAAUUCUUAUAAAUAAAUCCUUAAAAUAGUGGUAUAUAUAUAUAUAUAUAUAUAGAGUGAGGCUACUAUGCUAUCGGAAGCAUGGAGCCUUCCGUGCUUCCAGCUUGUUUUCGAUGUUGCGACUUUCGAAUCGUCGAUCGGCUCUGUUAAACUUGAUUUAGAGUAUUUGGAGUACGUAGAAAAAUAAAUUUUAUUAUUUUUCGAUAUCGUUUGCCUAGUGAUCGAAUGGCCUCAAAAUCAACAAAUUUCAAUGGCCGUAGUGAGCCGUUUGCAAGUUUAACGGUGNNNNNNNNNNNNNNNNNNNUAUGGGUACAUUCGAAAGAAAAGAUAAAUAAAAAAAUUUGAAAUAUUUAUUAAGGCACAGAUGUAAUUUUCUUAACUUUUCAAUUUUUAAUUUUUUUUUAUUAAUGAUAUGUUUUUCAAACCCAUAAACCCAAACCACUAGCUACAAUAAAUAGCCCAGUUCGGAUUUAAACCUACCCAUUUGAACUGCAGAUGAAUACCUACUCCACUUAUUAUAAGGUGAGCUAACAAUAAUUUUAAAGAUCUGACUUAUCGUCCCCAAAGCAAGUGGCAGAAAAUUUGAUGGUUGGUAUUCGAGGUCCCAAGUUUGAAUUCUAGUUGAUUCACAUUUUCAACUAAGUUUAUUUCUAAAUGAAAUAAACGAAGCGGAUAGUAUGUUAUCUAUCUCUCAAAAAAAAAAAAAAAUCUAUGUAUUGCAUAUUUUAUUUGUAAUUUUAAAUGAAGCAUACGAUAACGAUCAACUAAUAUCACUGUCUAGAAUAGUUGAUGAGCAUUAUAGCUUUGAAUUAAUUUUCACUUUGAGUGGGACGUGUGCGUGUUGUGACCUACUACAUAAGUAUGUUUUAGAAUAUAUAUUUAGGAGAUGAUGAUCAAAUUAAAGCUUCUAGAAUUUUGUAGAUAUUUUAUCUGCACUGAAUUAUGUGAUGAUCUACGGGCCACUUAUUCUUUGAUCAGUUAGCCAAUUCAAUUUAUGUUUACACAGCAUCCGAGGCCAAAUGCUUAGCUCCCAUUGGCCUUGUAAGAUGACUCUGCAUCUAAUGCCAAAUGCGAAUGAACUACUCCAACGUUACAUAUAUAUAUAUAUAUAUAUAUAUAUAUAUAUAUAUAUAUAUAUAUAUAUAUAUAUAUAUAUAUAUAUAUAUAUAUGCCAUGCUCAGUGUCGUUUUUCAUACAUACAUACGUGCAAUGUCACAAUUUUAUACUUUAUUUACAGCCAACGUAAAGAUUUAUAUAUAUUAAUUGUGCCGAUCAUCGUGAUAUCAUCACUAUCCAUAAUUUAUGCCCGACAAUUCUAUCUUGAAAAAAAAAAACAUUAAAAAUCAUCAGAUCUCAGGAGUUUUAGUGAAUAUAUAUAUAUAUAGAGAGAGAGAGAGAGUUUGGCUACUAUCCUCUUAAGAUGAUAGAAAUUUUUAUCCUAUCAAGUAAUUUUGGAUGAUAGGGACUUCAAAUUAAUAAUCGGUUGAUCUACAUUAUUAGAAAUAUUUAAAAACCGAAUUUUAUAAUUUUUAAAAAUUAUUAUCGAGUCCAUCAAAUAGUCGAAAAAUGAAUGGUAAAAAAUAAACGAUCUUAUGAAAAUAGAGAUUAGACUUUCUCAAUUUGUGAUCAGAGUUAUUAAACAUUAUCUAAAUGGUAUAAAAAUUUUCUAUCAAAAAUUCAACCAGUUUGGAUUACUCUAUACCGUUAAACAAACAAACGGCUCAUAUAGAUCUUCAAAAACCAACAAUUUUGCAAUUCUUUGGUCACUAUGUAAAUAAAUUUUAAAAUUUAUAAAAUUUAGUUCCUAGAUAAUUCAAAUACUUUAGAUCAACUUCAAUGGUUCAGAUCGUCGAUUCGGAAUCUCUAUUAUAAAAAAUAAUUUGAUAGGACGAAGGUCUCUAUCCUUUUAAAAGGAUUAGCAGCUGGAUUCUAUAUAUAUGUGUUUUUUUUUAGAAAUGAUUCUAUAUAUAUGUGUUUUUUUUUAAGAAAUGAUUCUAUAUAUAUGUGUUUUUUUUUUUUUUUUUUGAGAGAAGGUAGCAUGCUACCGUUUCAUUCAUUGUGAAAUAUAAACUUGGCUACAAAGUGAGGCAGCCAGGCCUCAAAAAAGUUAACAAAAUUAAAAUAAAACUAAAAAUAAAAAUACAAAUAAAAAGAGCAAAAUAGCGUACAAAAUUUAGGGACAGAAUCGAAGCCAAAGAUCUCUGAACGAUCGAAUCUUGGCUAAAGUACCGCAAAGCGGGUUCCUCCUGUUUUCGAAGAUCCUACAGUUCCGCUCGAGCCAAAGGGCCCACCAUGUAGCAGCAAUGGUCGUUAACUCUCUAUCUUCGUAUUAAACAACACAUAUAGGAGUGCUGGGGUAGCAAUGGGUGGAAGUGGAGGCAGAUCUUGGCUGGAAUGGAUUUGAAGAAUGGAUUUGAAUUGCCAUAGGGGGUCGGAAUGGAUUUGAAUUGUCAUAGGGGGCUAAAGCUCUUAUAUAUGUGUUGUUUAAUACGAAGAUAGCAUGUUAUUCAUUUCAUUCGUUUUUCUAAAAUAAACUUAGCUGAAAGUUUGAGUAACUAGAUUUCGAUUUUAGGUUGUCGAAUACCAACCAUCAAAUUUUUUAUAACUUGUGCAUAGAACGAUCGGUGUUUUGAUGGAUAACAGUGGCCAAGUUUUGUAGGUGAAAGAGAUUCGAAUCAAAAUAACUCGUGAUUUAGUAAAUAGACCAGGUAAGUCAUAUAUAUUAUCAGUAUUAGUUUAUAAUGUACUAGUAUGAAUAUUAUUUUUUAUUAUUAUUUUAAAUGAAGAGUAUUUCAUAAAAUCUAAAGUUAUUAUUACGAUGUACAAUGCACAUUGGCAUGCUCAGAAUCAUCAGAAUUCAGAAAAGCCCACAAGCUACUGGGACAUUAUUUUCAUAACCCCAUGUUCAUAGUAAACAAGUAAAAAAAAAAAAAAAAAGGAAAAACCUCUGAAGAGUUCACGAGAUCAACGCACCUUUUUGCAUCGAUCGUAUGAUGCGCAGGUUAAUUUUCCAAUGCUCAUGAUGCAUGCUAUAGGGACGAAAAAGACUCAUGGUACACUAACGCUGCUUAAGCAUGUGAUCGAGGCCCAGGAAUCAAGUGUUCUGUGUACCACAAAGUCAUGCAUGUUGGUGUUGCAACUUUAGAAAAGUUGGAAAUAUCACCCUAUUUUAAUUAUAUCUUUUGCUUUAACACUUGCAUAUUUGUUCAGAGCAUUUGGUUGGUAUUCUUAGUGAGAGUCAAAGUAUAUAUCCUUGCAUGCACACGGAAUGAGAAUAAGAAGGCUUGGGAUAUUUAAUUUGAUAUCAUAUAAAAUAAUCAUUUAUCUCAAUAUAUUUAAAUCUAACAAGAAAUAACAUCGUAUUUAUUCUGGAACACAUGCAUGCACGCAAUAUUCUUGGAUCAUCUCGAUCGGUUGAUAAUCACUCAAAACAGCAGUUUAGAAUUAUAGUUUCCACUUCCUUAAAGAGGAUCAUUGUUUCGAUUAAAGCAGAGGCAUGCGUACAUGCGAUCAAUAACCUGCACAAACAAGCUUGCCAGUUAAACAACUCAUUAGACAAUAAAAUAUGCUACAUAUAUAUNUAAAAAGAUGAAAAAAGUCAAAAAUGAAUAAGAUAAGAAAGCAACAUUGCCAUCCAAGCACACCCUUUUUUACACUAAUUUUAAUCAUUUCUUCUUUUACUUUAUUAUUAAGUGUUCAAAUAAAUUUGUUUAAAUUUUUUUGAUAAACAAUAAAGAUACAGAUAUAGAUAUAUACCAACUAAUUAAUAAAGUCGUUUGCUUAACGUACGGCGAGGGAAUGAGUUGGGGGGAUUGACUGGGGAGGGAAAGUGAGCCGACACCCAACCGACAGUUUGCUCGCCCGAGUGGAGAGGGGGAUGGGUCUCCUCCAUCUCUAAAAAUGUAACGCACCAACUCCACUUUGGACUCUUCAUUUUUGAACGGCAGAUAAAGUCGAAUCGCACUCCAAAACCCUUCGCCCCCACACAAAUUAACCGGCACGAAACGUUCCCUCUCACGUGACCACGUUCCAGUGCACCACCCCUUUAGUUAAUAUAUAUAUAUAUAUAGAAUUAGACUGGAAUAUUAUUAAUAGUAAAAUACUCUUUUUGCUAUCAAGUUUUUAAUUCUUGGAUUAAAAAUUGUAUGAUCAAGAUGAUAUUAGUCGGUUAGAGUUGAGUGGUCUCCCUAGGGUUGAAUGGUCCUCACUGGGUUAUAGUAUUUAAUUCAAUGGUUAGAAAUAAUGAAAAGAGUUGAUCCAAAGGCUAAAAAACUGAUAGCAAUAAUAGAAUUUUACUACUAAUAGUAGCCCAGUUCAACUCUAUAUAUAUAUAUAUAUAUAGUGAGGCUACUAUGCUUUCGGAAUCACGGAGCCUUCCGUACUUUCAGGUCGUUUUCAAUAUUGCGACUUUCGAAUCGCCGAUCGGCUCCGUUAAACUUGAUCUAGAGUAUUUGAAGUACUUAGAAAAUAAAUUUUAUAAUUCUUUGAUAUCAUUUGCCUAAUGAUCGAAGAGACUCAAAAUCAAUAAUUUUAAUGGCCGUGGUGAGCCGUUUACACGUUUAACGGUGUAGAAAUAUCCAAAUUAUGUGAAAUUUUGAUAGAAAAUUUUUUAUACUAUAUAAAACAAGAUCAAUAUUUUUGAUCUCAAAUUUUAAUGUCAUAUUAUCACGUUUUGUAAGGUUUUUAUUUUCAACAGUUGAUUUUGAGCCCCUUCAUUCAUUAGGCAAAUGAUAUCGAAAAAUUAUAAAAUUUAUUUUCUAGGUACUUCAAAUACUCUAGAUCAAGUUUAAUGGAGCCGAUCGACGAUUCGAAAGUCACAACAUCGAAAACGGCCUGGAAGCAUAGAAGGCUUCGUGCUUCCAGAAGCAUAGUAGCCUCACUCACACUCUCUCUCUCUAUAUAUAUUGAGUUAGGCUAUUAUUCUAUCGGUAGCACGGAGCGCUCCGUGCUACCAAGUUAUUUUCGAUGAUGCGGUUUCCAAAUCGACGAUCGGCUCCAUUAGACUUGAUCUACACUAUUAAAAAUAUUUAGAAACUAAAUUUCAUAACUUUUCGAUACCGUUUACCUAUCAAAUAAGUAAUAUAAAAUUGAACGACUGAAAAUAAAAAUCUCAUAAAAAAUGAUGAUAAAAGAUUUAAAUUCAAGAUCACAUAUACUGAUCUUACUCUAAAUAGUGAAAAUAAUUUUCUAUAAAAUUUUUAUCGGAUUUGGAUUGUUUUACACCGUUAAACUCUCAAACACACCACAUCGGCCAUUAAAAUUGUCAAUUUUGAGAACUUUUGAUCGCUAGUCAAAUGAUGUCGAAAAAAUCUGAAAUUUAGCUUCCAAAUACUUUCAAGUGUAGAUCAAGUCUAACGGAGCCGAUCGUCAAUUUGGAAGCCGCAUCAUCGAAAACAACUUGGUAGCAUGGAGCGCUCUAUGCUACCGAUAGUAUAGUAGCCAGACUCUACACUGUUAAACUUGCAAACGGUAUACAUCAACCAUUAAAAAUUGUUGAUUUUGAACCCUUUCGAUCGUUAGGUAAAUGAUAUCGAAAAAUCACAAAAAUUAUUUUCUAAAUACUUCAAAUAUGCUAGAUCAAGUCUAGCGGAGCCGAUCGUCGAUUCGAAAGCUCCAUCAUCCAAAACAGCUUAGGAGCACGGGGGCCUCCAUGCUCCUAAUAGCACAGUAGCCCUAUUCUCUCUCUCUCUAUAUAUAUAGAGAGAGUCUCUCUCUCUCUAUAUAUAUAGAGAGAGUAAGGCUACUGUGCUAUUAGGAGCACAACAGUCCUUGUGCUUCUAACUUUCUAACCACCCAUCAAGUUUGAUGGGUGGUUAGAAUAAGAGCGGGAUGAAAUAUGGGUGUCUCAAUUUCUCUUCUCCUUAAAUUUCUCUUCAAUAUUUCAUCCCUCUCUAAUUCUAACAAGUCAUCAAAUUUGAUGGGUGGCUAGAAAGUUAGGAGCACAAGGGCUGCUGUGCUCCUAAUAGUACAGUAGCCCUGCUCUAUAUAUAUUGAGAGACAGUAGGGCUGCUGUGCUCUUGCUAUUAAAACAUUACCAUCCAUCUAAAUAGAUGGAUAGCUGAGAUUAAAUUUCCUUUUAACUGGGAAACUCACUGUUAGAUGGGUUAAAGUUAACGGAUUUUUUCUCUCCCAUCUUUUCUUCUCUUUCUUUUUUCCUUUUCUCAUCUCCUUUGCGCGCGGUGCGGGUGCCAAAGGGUCGCGCCCGCGCUAUGCACGGGGGGAGGGACAGAGGGUUGUGUCGGCGGGGUUGGGAAGUUGGGUCGCACGGGGGUUGGCGGAGGCAGAGGCCGCGCACGCACUGGGGUUCGCCUCGGUUUGAGGGGGGAGCUUGGGUGGGCCGCGCCACUCGCACGAUUUGGGAGGGGCGGCGUGGCGGGUCGUGGGUGCGGAGGCGCAGCCGUUGCCCCUUGGCAGGUUGUGCGCGGCAAGGGUCGGGGAGAGUGGGGUAUUCUAGAAGAGGGGUUUGGGAAGAGGAGUUUGAUGAUUCUAUAGGAGAUGAAGAGGGAGCGAGAUUGGGGGAGAAGAGAAGAGAAAAAGCAUUUCACUGUAGAGAGAGAGAGAGGGAGAGAGAGCCUGCGAAGGAGACAAGAGAAAAGGAAAAAAAAAAAAGAGAAGAAAAGAGGAGAAAGAAAAAAUUUGUUAACUUUAACCCAUCUAACAGUAAAUUUUCAGUUAAAAGAAAAUUUUAUCUAAGCCAUCCAUCUAAAUAGAUGGAUGGUGGAUGUUUUAAUAGCACAGGGACUGCUGUGCUAGAGCACAGCAGCCCUACUCUCUCUCUCUAUAUAUAUAUUACUAAAGCACCCACACUACAACUUUUAUUAAAAAUAACAGGGAUAAAUGGCCCAAUAGUCCAAUAAUAGCUUUAACUUUGGCUAUUUUGCAAAUAGAUGUCAAACUUUUAGUUUUAAUAUUUUUAAAUUUUAUCAAAAAAUUUAACAAAUCUCUUUCCUAAGUAUAGUUAACAAUUGACAGAUUACUUAAAUCACAUGUCGUGUACACAAUUUUAUAAAAUUUUAGCAUACAAAAAAAAAUAUAUAUUUUUCUUAAAUUUUUUAUAAUUAAAUACGAGAUUUGAAGAAACUAACUUUAUUUUUUUCUUUCUUCUGUACGUUAGUAGAACAUUAUUAUAACUACUAAACUCGUCAGUGCAUCAUCUAAAUUAAACGUUUCUUUUAAGUAUUCACGAUUCUUUAUAUUUUUAUUACCUGCAUAUAAUUACUCUACAUGAUUACACGUGUCAACCAUCCGAACCGUUAGAAACGCUCCAAGUUUUGAACCCGCGAGUGCACCACACCCGUCAUAAGCCUCGGUAGGCGUUACAUCACAUGGCUUCGCGCCACGGCAUCCCCCCACCGACUUUCCGAACCCGUCCACCCGACGCUGACGUCGCGGGCCCCACGAAGCGUACUAUCUGACACGUGGAGCCAUUCUACUCGCUGUCGGCAAGACGAGUCCCAUUCCCCUCUCUCUCCCGAGGAAUUCUACACUGUCACACUUGCACCACGUCAUCAAUAACAAAUCAAUCACAUUCCUUCUUUUCAAACAAAAGUACAAUACAAAUAUUUUUUUACAAUCAUGAUGGGACAUAUAUUCUUAAAAGGAUUAAUUUGAUUGGUUUGUUACGCCACGUCACUAAUAUACCCGUUGCAUUCUAGAAUUUUUCCUCUCUCAGGCCAUGCCUCCACUGUCGGUGACAGCAUAGCUCAUCCCAGUUCCAUCUCUUCUGUAUCAAUUCCGACAGCAUAGCUCACCCCAGUUCCAUCUCNUUAUUUUUAUUAUUAUUAUUAUUAUUUAUUUUAUUUCCCUCUUUAUCUUUUUUAUUUAUGCUGCAACCCUUUUCCAAUUCGCGUCGGUUACGCGUAUUCAUGUAGAGGGACCCACGUAAAAGCUCUAUAUAAACCCACCGCCCCCCACAUUCUACAUCCGCAGUAACAGCGAAAUUCCACUUCCUAUCUAGCAAAAGCACUUCAUUUUUCGCUACACCACCACCUUUUCCUUUUUUAUUUUAAUUAAUUUUCGUUCUUUCUUUUGCGUUUUUAAAGUCCAAGCUAGCUUGUACAAUGGAGGAGGAGAGGAAUCAAAACCAAAGCGUGGUGAGUGGGGAAGAGGGGAGAGAGGUGGAGGUUAAAGACCGGGGUUUGUUCGACUUCAUGGGGAGGAAGGAGGAGAAGGAGAAGGAGAAGGAGAAGAUCGAAGAGGUGGAUUUGGUCGCAGGAAUGGAGAAGGUUCGCGUCGACGAGGUCGAGGACAGGAAGGAAGAGGAGAAGAAGAAGGAGGGCUUCUUGGAGAAGCUCCACCGCUCUCACAGCUCUAGCUCUAGCUCUAGCGCGGUAAUAAUUAAUAUCGCAUGAAUAUGCAUGUUCUAUGUCUAUUAAAUAUAUAUAUAUAUAUAUAUAUAUAUAUAUAUAUCAGUGUCGUAAAUAUACGGUGCUAACAUCCGUAUCUUUGUUUUGUGACGCAGUCGAGCGAUGAGGAGGAAGGAGGAGAGGGAGAGAACAAGGAGAAGAAGAAAAAGAAGAAGGGGCUAAAGGAGAAGAUCAAGGAGAAGCUCGGGGGCGGCGACAAAGAAGAGGAGCCCAAAGGAGAAGGGGAGAAGGAGACGGUACAGGUGGUGGCUCAAGAGGAGUUCGUAGAAGCAGUCCCCGCUUACGACGACGACACCGCGGUCACAGUGGAGGUUGUGGAGGGGACGGUGAAGCUCGACGGAGCCCCGGAGGGUGGUGAGAAGAAGGGCUUCUUGGAGAAGAUCAAGGAGAAGCUCCCCGGCCACAAGAAGCCCUGCGAAGAAGCAGCAGCCCCCACCGUCGAAACUGCGGCGGAGUGCGCCAAGGAGAGUCAUGAUACUGUGGCGGAUGCUAAUGAAGGGUCGAAGGAGAACAAGAAGGGCUUCUUGGGUAAGAUCAUGGAGAAGUUGCCUGGGUACAACAAGGGUGGCGAGGAGAAGGAGAAGGAAACCGAGAAAACCAGCGCUUGUAACUAGGUGUGGUUCAUGCAUGGUGAUCGAUCACCUGAUCAUCUUAAUUUUUAGCACAUGCUUGGUUUUGUUGUGGGUAUGUAUGUUUGUGUUUUGUGCAUGCUUGGGUUGUGUAGGUUGGUUUUGAUCUGCUUGGUGGGUCUCGUGAUAAUUAAGCCGUCUGCUACUUUUUUACUCUGAUGUUGUUUUUUUUUUUAUUUUUGGUUUUUUUUUUUUUUGUGCUGAAGCUGUGGUUAAAAAUGUGAUCGGAUAUAUGGUCGUAUUCUUGUACUUCUAUAUAUUCACUGUGAAUUAAUGCAUAUAUAUAUCAGUGCUUAAUUAUAACUGUUUAUUUAUUAAAAUUGUUGAUUCUAUUGAUAUAAGCGGGCGAAAUUUGUAGUGCGGUGUAUGAUUUAGAAUUGAGGGAAAGGAAUCUCUGGUGAAGCUCUCAAUGGGCUCUCCCGGAUGGCCCGGAACAAGUUUUACUAUCGCUGAGAUCAAGCCGUGCCGAAAAUUAUUGGGCCGGCCUGCUUGGUCGGUGUUGAGCUCAUUGUAAUGUAUGGGCGUUUUGGUACCUUAAUCUUUAGUUGACUGGUGAGUUGAAUUUUGGCAGUAUCGAAUUGGAAAUUUUGAUUUUCUUGGCCCGGCAAUCAUAAGUAGAUGCAAGUAAAUUUCAUGUUACAAACAUUCUUGAUUUUUCACUACUCAUUCUUGCGAGGCAAGUUAGUUCAAUGUACUCUACUAAAAUCGGGCAAAAAUUUCCUGGGCAUCGCCCCCAAACAAAUUGUUUGGGGACGAUGCCGAUGGGCGCGACCCUCAAAAACCCAAAAAAAAAAAAAAAAUUGUGAACUCCAUUUUUUAGAGAGAGAUAGAGAGAGAGAGAAGUUGGGGGAGGGGAGGGCGAGGAUGGGCGCGCGCGGGCCACGCGGUGCACAUCUGCAUCCUCCCCAAACUUUUGGGGAGGAUGCCCAUACAAUAUUUACCCACUAAAAUCAAAACAACAGUAGUUAGACAGUAAGUUGGAAACUUUAAAAUUCUUGCGAGGAAUUUCAAAAUGUUUGCUAAUCCAACUAAAAUCAAAAUCACAAGUUUUGCAGGGCAAAUAAUCAGAGGGAGUUUUAAGAUAACAUAGUGAAGAAGAUAAUCUUUUAUAUACUAAUAAGUAUGCCGAGUAAAAAAAGUAAAAUUAUUUUUUAACAAAUUAUUUAUUUUUUAAAAAAUAAAUACUAUUAGAUUAGAGAUGGAGCCUUGCCUUGUUAAAUGUAAAUUUUAUAUUUUUUUUUAACAAAGUAACUAAAACGAUUGUUAAGAAAGGGGGAGAGAAUCCAACAUCAUCCUCUACCUUAUCCUUUCAUCAUCACCACCAGAAGCCUCCCACAGCAAAAAAUUUCACCACCGCGUCUCCUCCUCUCACACACUCUUUACUCUGCUCCGAUGGAGGCCGUGGUCGUAAACCCCUCCCUCUCCCGUCUCAAGCUCCCUCCUUUAAAGUCCCAGACCCUAACUUUCCCCCGACCGAUCCCCACAACCUUAAACCCUCAUCUCCCCCGCCGCCGCCAUUAUCGCCUCCUCUUCGCCUUCCGAGACCAGUCCCCCCAUCCCCCAGUAGCUGCGGAUGAGGAGGAGGAGGAGGAGGAGGAGGAGGUGGGGGAGUACUACGGCGAGGUGAAUAGAAUCAUCGGGAGCCGCAGCGUGCGCGCCCCGGUGUUCUCCGACGACGGGUCGGCGACCGCGGAGGCGUCGACGGAGUACCUGGUCGAGUGGAAGGACGGGCACGCGCCGUCGUGGGUGCCCGCCUCCGGCGUCGCCGCCGAUGUGGUGGCGGAGUACGAGACCCCGUGGUGGACCGCCGCCAAGAAGGGCGACGCCGCGGCGCUCUCCGCCCUCCUCGCCGACCCCUCCGCCGCCCGCGACCCCGACGCCCAGGACCCCGACGGCCGCACCGCCCUCCACUUCGCCGCCGGGCUCGGCUCCGACGACUGCGUCCGUGCGCUCGCCGAGGCCGGCGCCGACCUCGACCGCCCCGACCGCGCCGGCGGGGGCCUGCGCCCGCUCCACAUGGCCGCCGGGUACCCCGUCAAAACAAAACAAAACAAAACAAAACAAAAACAGCCCUUUUUAAUUUAAAAUUAUUUCUCUAGCAUUAGCAUUGAAUCCAUGCUUUGGACAGAUACGGGCGCCCCGCGGCGGUGCGGGCGCUGCUGGAGGCAGGGGCGGAUGCGGAGGCGGUGGACGGGAGGGGGCGGACGGCGCUGGAACUGGCGAGGGAGGUGCUGGCGGCGACGCCGAGGGGGGACCCGACGGCGUUCGCGAGGAGGGUGGGGGUGGAGGCGGCGGCGGCGGAGCUGGAGGCGGCGGUGUACGAGUGGGGGGAGGUGGCGCGGGUGGUGGAGGCGAGGGGCGAGGGGAAGAGGCGGGAGUACCUGGUGGAGUGGCGGGACGGCGGGGAGAGGGACUGGGUCAGGGCGGAGUGGGUCGCCGACGACGUGGCCGCGGACUUCGAGGCCGGGCUCGAGUACGGCGUGGCGGAGGCGGUGGUGGGGCGGAGGGACGCGGCGGAGGGCAGGGAGUACCUGGUCAAGUGGGUGGACAUCGAGGACGCCACCUGGGAGCCGCAGGAGAACGUCGACCCGGAGCUCGUGCAGGAGUUCGAGCGCCAGCAGGCGGCGGCGGAUAGACCUGGCGGUGCGCCGCAGGAGGCGCUGCGGCGGUGGGCUGAGAAUUUUUGAUACAGCUGAUUCAUUGUAUUGUAUGCUUGUUUUCUAAACUUGAGUAAAAUUUAAAUAAUAACAGUGUAUUAAUUAGUCGAUUCUUUAUUUCAAUUGUCGGUCUUCAGCGAGAAAAUAUAAGCCAGCAUUGUGCUGUUCACCGUUGGCUAUUAUUACUGUGUCUAACCACCAAUUGUCCUGCGCACGGAAUUACUUACAAUAUGGGCUCCCACUGGGAGUCCCCCUGUUGUGAGUUCUAAUCAAAAUUGUAGCAAUUCUUACUUACAAAACAAGGUUGCAAGAGGAAGGAGUACAAUGUCAGAAUGUGCCGUCCUCGCGGCGGCGGAGCGACGACCAGAACGGCGGAAAUGUUUUUUUGACAUAAGCACAGCCGCCGCCACCAUAUGCACCGGAGAAGGGGAGUCGUGUGUGCAUAAAUGUUGACGAGUUUUAGCUCCACGAGAAGUUUUUCUCUCGUUUGUUUGUGCAUGUAUGCAUGCGCACACGCAUACAUGAAAGGAAGGUAUAGGGAGCCAUGCCCCAAUAAAUUAAACCCUUUUUAAAUCGCUCAAGUGGCUCUUUGGCUUCAAUUUUUGGUCUUAAUUUUAUAUUCAAAGUCAAAUCUAAUGAACUUAACAGAGAUAUUCGUUUCUUGCUUCGCAUAAAGAUAAGUAAAAAGACAAAUAAAUGAAAGAAUUAAAAAAAAAAAAAAAAACACAAUCCAUCGUGAAGCGUCGUGUUUCUCCUAUUGGGAGUGCGUGACAUUCACGUUUCACAUGUCACAAUAAUUGGGCUACGUCCGGUGAGAUUGAAUGUCAAAACUUAAUUUCUCUCUUAAAUAUCAUUUAAAAUAAUAUAAUAUGAAAUAAUCUUUGUUUCUAAAAAUUUAAAUCGUAAGAUUACAUAGGUUUUAUAUUUUACAAGAUUAACAACCUAAAUGUACAUACAAGAGAAAAGAAUAACAAAAUAAAAUAGAAGAAGAAUAAAAGAACACGUUUUAGGACGAGCAAAUUCAAGAAAAGUGAAAAAAAAUCAAAUAGGAAGGUAUUAAUUUUUACACAUAUUUAAGGUAUUUUUACAGUUGACGAAUUCAUUAUUGGACUACUCGAAUAAUUACUAAGAAUUACGGUUGACCAAUUCGACUUCUAAUUUUACAGUUGACAAAUUCAUUAGAAUAAAAUAACUACCACAAAAUUGCUAUCCAAAAUAGAAACUUUUGACUAAUUUAUUACCUUAAAAAUGUAGCUCUUAAGCUCUAUAAUUGGACGAAAAAAAUUAAGCCAAGUAAAAUGUGCAUCAAUAUAAUCCGAACAAUCAAUUGAUAAAAUACAGUGCAAAACAUGUGGAAGGACACAUUUUGAUGGAAAUGUGAGGCCACUCUUCUCCACGGCUUGUGGUUGGUUUUGUACAAUUUAUAUGGACAUUUGAACGUGCCAUAGUGUGUAAAAAAGGGCCACUCACAAAUCCUCAUACCACAAAAAAAUGGCGCUUCUUAUGUUCUUCGCCAUCACCUUCACGCCCAUGCUCCACGGCGCACCGCGAGUUACUGCUUGUGUUCCUGCGAUAUACGUGUUUGGGGACUCUUUAGCUGAUGUCGGUAACAACAAUCAUCUCGAAGUCGCGGAGAUAAAUAAGGCGAAUUUCCCUCACAACGGCGUCGAUUUCCCCGAUAGGGUUUCCACAGGGAGGUUUAGCAAUGGCUACAACGGCAUCGACUUCAUCGGUAUGUGAACUUAUGAUAUCACUUUUUAUUUGAUCUUUCGAAAUUUGUUGUUUCAUCUCAUUCAAUGCUUUCUCCUUGAAAUCUUUCGUUUUAUAAUUAGUUGUCUUUGAUCACUCAAUUGCUUCUUAUGUAUCGGUCGAUCGGGAGCGAAUACGAACUGAUUCAUAUCGUUUUAAGCUAAUGUGAUUUUUAAGUUAAACUAGUUUCAUUUGACAUCCUUGUUGAAGUUCAUUAUAUGGUUUUAGUUCUUGUAAUUUCUCACAAAAAGUGGUAAUGUUAUUACAACUGCACCUACAUGGUUAAAUGACUUUUUAGGUUUUGGAUUAUGACAAUAGUCUAUUAAACAUGGGUUAUAGAGACAUCAUUUUCCAAAUUUAACUAUGCAACCGUAUUGUUCGGUGUACUAUUUGAAUACAUGAAUAUAUUAUUCAAUGUAUCUCUCCGAUAUAUUUAAAAUUUUGUAUGUUUGGCUGACGAGUAAUGUAACCAAUGUCUAGAAUUGAAUACUAUAUUUGAUUUUUAAAUUAUUUUUUCAGAUAAAAUAAAUUAUGUUUUAUGUAAAAUAUGUUAUGUUACCAAAUUAUGAAUGAUAAAAUAUUUUAAAAAAUAAAAUUCAGACUCUUCUUUUACAAUUACACUAGAAAAUUCUUACACUGAAUAAUUGGGCCAAAGUGUUUUAGAACCGAGUCAUGCCAAACAACACAUGCUUAAUUGGACCCACUUUUUGACAAAUAUGCAUCUAAUCGCUGUAUUUUUCUUUUCAAAAUUUUGUUGGAGUAAAAAUCAAACCAUUUCUUUUAUUAACUUGUCAAAAAAUUUUCAUUUAGAUCAUUAAAUUCUAAGUUGUAGCAAUUGAGUUACUUUAAUAUUUUUAUUUUGGUCAGACUAUUUUGUCGAACACGUUUUAAUUUCUAUAACCUAAAUAAUGUGACAAUCAAUUCAAUUAUUAUAUCAUCUCAAAAAAGGAAAAAAAAACUGGUGCAAAAAUAUGCAAGUUGAUCAGAAGUUUAAUCAUCUCCGGAUUAACAAGAUUCAAUUGUCCCGACGCCAUUACGCAAUAAUGCGUCAAUUGAAUCAAUAUAUUUGUAUCAUCACGUCAACUCUUGAAAAUAAGGUGAGAGCUGAAUUAAUCUCACUUCAUCCUUCAAAUAAUAAUCUGAAUGAAAUUUGAUAUAAACAACCAAAUUGUGAUAGAAGUUAAACUUUAAUAAAUAAUAAUUCAAUUACAAUAAAUUACUAAAAUAAAUUUGAAGUAGAACCAUUUUAGUGGCCUCGAGCAAUCAUGCCACUUUUAAUUUACACAAAAAGAGGAGAACACAUCAAUUCAAAUGCGACAAAAAAAGUCCCAAAUGAUGGAAAGGACUAAAAAGAAAAAAUGGCACAAGUUGUGUCACUACCGGUACCAAACAAUCUAAGAAAACAGCGAGACAAUAUUACUUGCUACGAGUAAAAUGAAAAAUUAAAAAAAAAAAUCUUGGAGAAAGCAAAGGCAACAGAGCUUUUCUGAAAAGCUAAGCUGCUAUUUGUUUGUGAGGUUUGUCAAAUAUAUAAAAUUUGGUUUCUAGCAACUUAUAUUUAUAACGAUUUGACACAUUAGUAAUAAUAAUUCGUUAGACCUAAAUUACUAAUCCAAAAUAUUUAAAUUUAAUUAUUAUUAUUAAUGUGUAGGCCUUAUAUGACCCUAAGGGUGCGUUUGGUUCGCGCUAUCUUUUAAAGAUUCCUAGUAAUCCAAUGGGAAUAAAAAAAUAUGACGGUGUUUGGCUAAACGCACUAAGUAAUCCAGUUGGUAAUAUUGGAUUCACUUGGGAAUAAGAUUCACCCCAAAGUACUAAUCUCAUUCCCUUGAGGGAGGGUGGGUAUCCUCAUAUUAAUGGAUUGGGGUAAUCAUAAUAUGUCUAAUCUCCUUCUUUCUUCCUACCCGCCGGCUAAUUAAUAUUAUUUUUCUUUACACUCUAACCUUAUAUCUCUCUCUAAACUUAUUUUUCUCUCUAAAAUUCAACUUUUUUUUCUCUCUCUAAACUAAGUUUUCUCUCUCUCUCUCUCUUUCUAAAAUUUUCAACUCUCACACUCCCUCUAAUUUCGACUAUAUUUUUCUUUCUAUUUUGUUAAUUAUGCUCACUCUCUCUAACUUAUACUCUCUCUCCCUUUUUUCUAAAAAGAUGUUGAAAUUUUUGGUAAAAUUAUCUAAAAUUAAAUAAAUAAAUAAAUAAAUUGUAUAUUUUUUGUAAUAUUAAAUAACAUGACUAAUUAAUAUUACCGUACGAACUAAACACAGGAAUUCCACAUUCUUAGUAAUAGGAUGAAUAGGAAUAAGAUUCUCGGAUAUCUUUUAUUCCUAGUAAUCUUUCAUAAUGCGAACCAAACGCACCCUAACAGUCUCGUUGGGUCCAAAUUCUAUGGAUUCAAGAGAUGACUCUUAUCAAAUCCGUUGGUGUAACAUUUUGCCCUGCAUAGAGCUUAGUUCUUACACUUUCGACUGAUAUUUAGCUCUGAUACUAAUUAUAACAACCUGACCUGCUAGUAAUAGUAAUUCGUUGGAUUCAAACCACAGGUCCAAAAUAUUUAAGCUCAAUUAUUAUUAUUAACGUGUGAACCUCACAUAUUCUAAUCAGAAUUAUUUUUUCAUCCGAUAUGAGAUUAUUGGUAUGUUAUAAUAUUUGUAUCGUUUAUUUU
Molecule: long non-coding RNA, 29312 nt
Filed under: Ananas comosus (pineapple)
Lineage: Eukaryota; Viridiplantae; Streptophyta; Magnoliopsida; Poales; Bromeliaceae
Description: long non-coding RNA (ACOM_LNC006270)
Source: RNAcentral